Leucoraja erinaceus (little skate) is the source of this 2663-nucleotide long non-coding RNA. RefSeq lists it as uncharacterized. The transcript is spliced from 3 exons. The record is from RefSeq and is a predicted model, not a curated record. NCBI's taxonomy places the organism in Eukaryota, Metazoa, Chordata, Chondrichthyes, Rajiformes, Rajidae.
GCUGUCCUGCUGAGUUACUCCAGCUUUUCAUGUCUAUCUUUGGUUUAAACCAGCAUCUGCAGUUCCUUCCUAAACAUAUCUGCACUUCCUACUCAAAUUGGCAUCAAGAUCUUUGAGCCACUUCAAAAGCAGCUAGUGCCGCAUCCCCACCUGGGUGGCUUUACAACCCAAAUGUAUGAACAUUGAAUCCUCCAAUUUUACAAUUCUGCUCACCUUAAACCUAUGUCCUCUGGUUCUCGAGUCCCCUACUCCGGGCAAAUGACUCUGUGGGUUUACCAGAACUAUUCUCAUGAUUUUGUACAGCUUUUUAUUUUCUUUAUUUUCUACCGCUGCACCACAGAGAGCAUCCUAACGUAUGGCAUCUCUGUGCGGUAUCUCAGCUGCACGGAGGCGGAGAGGAGAGCUCUUCAACGCACUGUCCACAGAGCGCAGAGGAUUAUUGGGACACCGCUACCAGCCUUGGAGGGCAUCUACAAUACACGGUGCGUCAGGAAGGCCGUCAGCAUUCAUAAAGACUCCUCACGCCCUUGUAAUAGUCUGUUCGAACUUGUACCAUCCGGCAGACGUUACAAGGCCUUCUACGCCCACACCUCCAGACUUUGGAACAGCUUCAUCCCCAGAGCUAUCGCUGCUCUGAACCGGUCCUACUGAGCGCCCCCCACCUCCAUGAACUGUCUCCCUCAGAUGGUCACGUUGCACAUCGACCUGACACAGACCUACUGUAUUUGCACGUUAUACUGCUUUACCUGUUUUUUUUUUAUCUUGUUUCUCUGGGUGUUUACAUAUUUAGCUAAUUAAGUUAUUACAUCGGAUGGAAGUUGCAUUCCAAAUCUCGUUGUACCUCUGUGCAAUGACAAUAAAGAUAUAUCAUUAUUAUUAUUAUAUCAAGCCUUGUCCUGGCCCACGUGGGGCCCCAUGUACACUGCCAGAGGAAACUCUCCUGAACGCAUUUGACAAGUUCCACCCCGUCUAAACCUUUGGCACUGACAAUGACAUUCCCAGUCAAUAUUGGAAAAGUUUAAAUCCCUCUACUCCGACAACCUUAUUAGACAGACAGGAGCGAGUAGAGAUUUACAGGCGAAAGAGAGUGAUGCAUGCAUGUAGCGCCUUUCAGAGCGUCCCAAAGUAGUUAACAGCCGCUGAAGUAUUUGUAAGAAACAGCGAGGCACCUAAAGUGCCACACACACAUGCUAGACUUCGUAUCUGGCGCCCGGCCAAUUCGGCGAGCGUGUCAUCUUUCAUUCACGUCAGGUGAAAAUUCCUCUCACUCAGUUACUGCUGCCUCACGCUUGUUACAAAAAAACUCUCCCACAAAUAGUCCCAUUUAACUAGAGUGAAGAACUAUUAUCACCCCUAACCACACACACACAAAGCGAACUCGCACUCUCUCGAAGCGGAGGCGCUCUGUGAAUACAUAGCGUUUAAAGCAACUUUGACCGGUUUGUUCGUAAACUGGCAACACAGUGUGUUGUGUUGUGAAUUCUUGGCGCGGGACCUCCUUCGCCGAAAGGAGAAACAGGGAGGUGGGUGUUUGAUGACUUUCUACUAACACGGACAGACUCGUAAGUGCUUCAAGAGCUCGGCCCUUCUGCGGAGCCGUGCAGUUCUCCAGCCCAGCCCAGCCUGAGCGCCGGGUAACGCGAUUCCACCUGCGGAUUCGCCAGAGAAACACCCUCCACUCGGGGCUGGGCGAAUGGCUGGGAAGAGUUAAAUUGCACUCUGGAAGCCGGUGAGAUCAGCAAGUGGGCGUUUUCACAUCGCAGGCUCAUGAGGACAGCGCUGCUUAAACUUCGCUUCCCAAGAAUUCAACAGGUUACUCACACUCUUCGGAAGAGUAAAAUGGAUCUGUGUGUGACCGGCUUGUGCACAACCCGCUGGCAGUCCCAAAUCAGAAUCGAGGCUUUGAAAAUACUGUGAGGAGAUCAGCUGAAGAAGUUGUAUUUGCGAAGGAGUUUGGUCACCAUAAGAAUCUCCCCGGUUCAUGGAGUGAGUCGAUAUUGACCGGUAUUAGACUCGAGGUACAGAAGUGUGAAAACGCCCACCACCAGAUUCAGGGACAGUUUCCUCCCAACUGUUAUCAGGCAACUGAAUCAUCACCUACCACAACCCGAGAGCAGUGACUAUCUACCUCUUGACAGGACUUUGCUGGCUUUACCUUGCACUAAACGUUAGUCCCUUAUCAUGUUUCUAUAUACUGUAAUUUGAUUGACUGUAAUCAUGUGUUGUCUUUCUGCUGACUGGCAACAUGCAACAAUCUUUAAAAAAAAAAAUAUAUUUUAAUAAAUCUUUUAAUGACAAUAAAACACUCUUGACUCUUGAGAACUAUAUUUUGCAUCCUGUUUCUUUCUUUCCUCGAUCUAUUGGUCUUGAGUUUGGCUUGACCGUUUGGGUAUGCAUUAUCUGAUUUGAUUGGGCAGCACACAAAACAAAGCUUCCCACUGUACCUUGGCUCAUGUGACGAUCAUAAAACAAAAUCUAAACCUAAAUAGAAGUGGAGCAUUGGUGCCCUGAGUAAUCAAUUCAAUUCAAUUCAAUUCAACUUUAAUGUCAUCGCACAAAUACAAGUAUGAGUACAACGGAAUGCAGUUUUGCGUCAGUCCGUAGUAGUUGUGCAUAAAGAAAUUUAAAAAAAAUAGAAAGAGAGAAGAUACAGAAUAAUCAAA